This 459-nucleotide ribosomal RNA is filed under the name uncultured bacterium. RNAcentral's name for it is "bacterial SSU rRNA". It matches the Rfam family "Bacterial small subunit ribosomal RNA", at positions 29 to 484 of the family's 1533-position model. The record is from RNAcentral.
AACGAACGCUGGCGGCAGGCCUAAUACAUGCAAGACGAACGGUAAGUUGAGUAGCAAUACUUAGCCAAGAGUGUCGUACGGGUGCGUAACACGUAUGCAACCCUACCCUAUACAGGAGGAUAGCCUAGGGAAACCUGGAUUAACCCUUCAUAGUAUUAUUGGAUGGCAUCAUUUGAUAAUUAAAACUGAGGUGGUAUAGGAUGGGCAUGCGUCUGAUUAGUUAGUUGGCGGGUAAUGGCCCACCAAGACGAUGAUCAGUAGGGGUUCUGAGAGGAAGAUCCCCCACACUGGCACUGAGAUACGGGCCAGACUCCUACGGGAGCAGCAGUAGGGAAUAUUGGUCAAUGGAUGCAAGUCUGAACCAGCCAUGCCGCGUGCAGGAAGAAGGCCUUCUGGGUUGUAAACUGCUUUUGCCAGGGGAUAAAAUUUCCAUGCGUGGAAAACUGAAGGUACCUGGUG